This 72-nucleotide transfer RNA is filed under the name Camelus ferus (Wild Bactrian camel). It matches the Rfam family "tRNA". Rfam says of the family: Transfer RNA (tRNA) molecules are approximately 80 nucleotides in length. Lineage: Eukaryota; Metazoa; Chordata; Mammalia; Artiodactyla; Camelidae. The record is from Rfam by way of RNAcentral.
GUGGUUAUAGCUCAGUGGUAGAGUGCGUGCUUAGCAGGCAUGAGUUCCUGGGUUCAAUCCCCAGCACCUCCA